Molecule: small nuclear RNA, 159 nt
Organism: Chlorella variabilis
Lineage: Eukaryota; Viridiplantae; Chlorophyta; Trebouxiophyceae; Chlorellales; Chlorellaceae
Rfam family: U1 spliceosomal RNA
About the family: U1 is a small nuclear RNA (snRNA) component of the spliceosome (involved in pre-mRNA splicing). Its 5' end forms complementary base pairs with the 5' splice junction, thus defining the 5' donor site of an intron.
Source: Rfam
AUACUUACCUGACUCGGGUGUGAAGGCGAUCAAGCAGGCCUUCCACCGUCGGGCUGCGGUCUCGGCCUUGCACUUCGCCAGACCCGUCCGGUUGGCUGUCUUCGGGCGGCCAGGAGUUUAGUUUAUUAAAGGCUGUUGUGGCGUACGCGCCCCUCGGCA